This 634-nucleotide long non-coding RNA is filed under the name Crocodylus porosus (Australian saltwater crocodile). RNAcentral describes it as "lncRNA (ENSCPRG00005009232.1)". Lineage: Eukaryota; Metazoa; Chordata; Crocodylia; Crocodylidae. The record is from RNAcentral.
CUGUGAUUCAGUGAGGAAGUAUGGACUAGCUUAUCUGAGGCAUCAUGUGAUCCACAUUUUAUGGGAAAAGUCUAUUUAGUUCCCUGAUGGAUGAAGUAAACUCAGUAAAUGUUUCUUGAGUUUGGCUAGUCGAGUGUGUGUGGCAGAUCUGUGGUUCUUUUGCUGCUUGCAGACAUUAUGCUGUACCAGGAGUGCAGUCAGGAAAAAAUAUCACUUCCUCACUUGGAGAGAUGCAAGAAUGAUACUUUAAUGACCAGAGUUGUGGGACACCUUCAGCCGUGCAGUAUGCAGCAAGAACAUGAUUGCAGUGUGGACAUUUCAAGAAUGGAUAUUAGCAAAUGAAAGCCCCGAUCCAGCAAUCUGCUCCACACAGGCUGAUUCUUAUGCCUGCAUGGAGUCUCAGUAAGUGGGGACCUUACAUGAUUUAGUUAUGUGGAUACAUGGUCAGGCACACAGUCUUCAUUGAACUUCUUUAAGUCAUGGAGAGAACCCAAAACAUGAAGUAGAGACUGAAGCAGAAGUAGACUCACCAGAACUCCCUGUUAACAUUGUAUCUGAUGAUGGGCUACCUUGUGGAUAAAACAGUGCAAGUCAGGAGAGCUUGGUUCUAUUUCCAGCUCUUCUUUUUACUUAC